Molecule: ribosomal RNA, 465 nt
Filed under: uncultured bacterium
Lineage: Bacteria
Description: partial 16S ribosomal RNA
Rfam family: Bacterial small subunit ribosomal RNA
Source: RNAcentral
GACGAACGCUGGCGGCGUGCUUAACACAUGCAAGUCGUACGGUAAGGCCCUUUCGGGGGUACACGAGUGGCGAACGGGUGAGUAACACGUGAGUAACCUGCCCACAACUUUGGGAUAACGCUAGGAAACUGGUGCUAAUACUGGAUAUGUGCUCCUGCUGCAUGGUGGGGGUUGGAAAGCUCCGGCGGUUGUGGAUGGACUCGCGGCCUAUCGGCUUGUUGGUGGGGUAGUGGCCUACCAAGGCGGCGGCGGGUAGCCGGCCUGAGAGGGUGACCGGCCACAUUGGGACUGAGAUACGGCCCAGACUCCGACGGGAGGCAGAAGGGGGGAAGAUUGCACAAUGGGCGCAAGCCUGAUGCAGAAGCGCCGCGUGCGGGAUGACGGCCUUCGGGUUGUAAACCGCUUUCAGCAGGGACGAAGCUUUUUGUGACGGUACCUGCAGAAGAAGCACCGGCUAACUACGUG